AGUGAACGCUGGUGGUAGGCCUAACACAUGCAAGUCGAACGGCAGCACCGUAAGAGCUUGCUCUUACGGGUGGCGAGUGGCGGACGGGUGAGGAAUAUAUCGGAAUCUAUUUUUUCGUGGGGGAUAACGUAGGGAAACUUACGCUAAUACCGCAUACGACCUACGGGUGAAAGCAGGGGAUCUUUGGACCUUGCGCGAUUGAAUGCGCCGAUGUUGGAUUUGCUAGUUGGGGGGGUAAAGGCCCACCAAGGCGGCGAUCGGUAGCUGGACUGAGUGGAUGGUCGGCCGCACUAGAACGUAGCCACGCUCCAUGCUCCUACGAGAGGGCCCAGUGGGGAAUAUUGGACAAUGGUCGCAAGCCUGAUCCAGCCGUACCGCGUGGGUUGAAAAAGCCCUCGGGUUGGAAAGCCCUUUUGUUGGGAGAGAAAAGCAGCAGGUUAAUACCCCGCUGUUCUGACGGUACCCAAAAAAUAAGCACCGGCUAACUACGUG
RNAcentral lists this ribosomal RNA (492 nucleotides) under uncultured bacterium. RNAcentral describes it as "partial 16S ribosomal RNA". It matches the Rfam family "Bacterial small subunit ribosomal RNA", at positions 29 to 507 of the family's 1533-position model. The record is from RNAcentral.